This 371-nucleotide ribosomal RNA is filed under the name uncultured marine gamma proteobacterium DHB-6. Its description in RNAcentral is "bacterial SSU rRNA". It matches the Rfam family "Bacterial small subunit ribosomal RNA", at positions 1129 to 1497 of the family's 1533-position model. Lineage: Bacteria; Pseudomonadati; Pseudomonadota; Gammaproteobacteria. The record is from RNAcentral.
UGGUGGGAACUAUAAGGAGACUGCCGGUGAUAAGCCGGAGGAAGGCGGGGACGACGUCAAGUCAUCAUGGCCCUUACGACCAGGGCUACACACGUGCUACAAUGGGAAGAACAAAGAGUUGCGAAGCCGCGAGGUGUAGCUAAUCUCACAAAUCUUUUCGUAGUCCGGAUCGGAGUCUGCAACUCGACUCCGUGAAGUCGGAAUCGCUAGUAAUCGUAGAUCAGAACGCUACGGUGAAUACGUUCCCGGGUCUUGUACACACCGCCCGUCAUACCAUGGGAGUGGGUUGCACCAGAAGUAGCUAGUCUAACUGUUUACAGGGGACGGUUACCACGGUGUGAUUCAUGACUGGGGUAAAGUCGUAACAAGGU